Paramuricea clavata is the source of this 635-nucleotide non-coding RNA. The record is from the annotation of a GenBank genome assembly. Lineage: Eukaryota; Metazoa; Cnidaria; Anthozoa; Malacalcyonacea; Plexauridae.
CUCUAUAUAAAAUCACAAGGACAUUAAUGUCAAGUCUUUGUGCUAUGUCUCUGGGAUGAGAAAUAAUUCCUUACAUGCGCUCAAAAUGUUUUAUACAAAGAUAUAAAACGGUAAUCUAUAUGUAAUGGAUCAGCACUAUUGAAAUUUCCAACACGGUUUCCGAGACGUAAUUCAAGAUUAACUUAUCAUUGCAUUUGAACUAUUACAUCAGUUGGUGUUAUACUGUGCGAUAAGUGAAUAUUAUUGGAAAGAGGGCUGCUAUAUACGUUGAAAUCAUCAAAUAAACAGCUCAUGCACACAUUUCUGCACUUUGUGGUAAGUUUACAGAGCAUAUUUUAUACUUUGGGACUGAUCUUUGUCUUUGAUGUGAACAUUUAUUCUCAUAGUUUAAGGUUAUUUAAGAUUGAUCCUGUCCUAAGUCUUCUAGCAGCAACCAUUCGACAAUAUUGCAUUUUAGCGCUGUCUUUGCCGUUACGUUGCCUUCGCGUUACUUUUGUUUUAAAUAACUUGAUCGCGUUAAAAGAGUUAUUUUCAGGCCUGUGACAUAGCUAAAAGACUUUGCAUUAAUGUCCUUGUGAUUUUAUAGAGAUAUUUCUAGAACUGAUGAUUUUAGAAAGCGUUAUCUGUAUCUUCUC